Molecule: ribosomal RNA, 383 nt
Filed under: uncultured bacterium
Lineage: Bacteria
Description: bacterial SSU rRNA
Rfam family: Bacterial small subunit ribosomal RNA
Source: RNAcentral
CGGAACUUCGGGUUUAGUGGCGGACGGGUGAGUAACGCGUGAGAAUCUGCCUCUAGGUCGGGGACAACAAACGGAAACGAUUGCUAAUACCCGAUGUGCAGCAAUGUGAAAGAUUUAUUGCCUAGAGAUGAGCUCGCGUCUGAUUAGCUAGUAGGUGUGGUAAUGGCGCACCUAGGCGACGAUCAGUAACUGGUCUGAGAGGAUGACCAGUCACACUGGGACUGAGACACGGCCCAGACUCCUACGGGAGGCAGCAGUGGGGAAUUUUCCGCAAUGGGCGAAAGCCUGACGGAGCAAUACCGCGUGAGGGACGAAGGCUUUUGGGUCGUAAACCUCUUUUCCCUGAGAAGAAGAUCUGACGGUAUCAGGGGAAUCAGCAUCGG